Molecule: ribosomal RNA, 408 nt
Filed under: Triticum aestivum (bread wheat)
Lineage: Eukaryota; Viridiplantae; Streptophyta; Magnoliopsida; Poales; Poaceae
Description: partial small subunit ribosomal RNA
Source: RNAcentral
AUGCAAGCGGCCCAAAAAGGCACAUUGAUGCCACAUUGCUGCCGUUCAACAUCUCCAGGAAAAGCUGAAAUCAUUCCCGGGGGUGCGCUGUGGUGUGCAAAACAGGGACAUCACAAGACGCUUCACUCAUUAGAUGUUUUGGAUUACAAAGGAAACAAACAAGCUUCUGUUAAUGAGUACAACAACCUUCAUCUCAGGAAAAAUAACAGAGAUGCGAAGGAAGAACUAUGGAAAAACCUACUAGAGGUACUAACAGCCGUUCAGAAGAGGUUACGCUUCUCUGACAUGGUUAGCUUCACCAGGAACCAUCACCAAGCACAGCAAACUGAACUGAGCAGCCAAUUUGGAUGUAAUGCCACUGAUCAAUUAGUAUUUGCUAAAGGGGAGCAAACAGCGCCACCACGAUGA